CCCUCUUCUCCUAACCUUGUUGCUGUACUUUUCUGAACCCCUACUACUGUUGUUUCCCUCAUUAUCUUUCUCUGAAUUUUCUGUAAGCUGAGAUGUGUAAUGCUUUGUAAUGUUCAGAUUUGAGUAGUGCUUGACACUUGUUCAGUUUCAGACUUGUCCUUGAUUAAUAGUACUUGUGUUGUUCAUCUCAGAGUACUAGAAUUAUGUCUUGUAACCUCCCCCUAUUUGCAUAUGUGUGAUGUGUGUUCUGUAGUGUUUUUGUUAACUUUGUUCAUGUGAAAACAUAUAUGUUUGUGUUGUGAUAUAUUUUUGUCCCUAUCAUAUUAGCUUGUUUCUUUCCUUCUGUCAUUGCUAGUUAUAUAUGUGUGAGUGUUUGUGUUGUGAGAGUUGUACUGUUACAUUGUGAUUCUCAUUUAAAAUGUAAGAGUACUAGCUAUAUACUCCCUCCAUUCCUAAAUAUAGGGUGUAUAGUUUUUGGCACGGAAUUAAAGAACGCACGUGGAGGGAAAAUUUCACAAGUUCUGGGCGAGAUUACACCUGACUAAUUGACAUGAAUAAAAAGAGAAAUGUAAUCAAAUCCCUAAAAAAUUAAUCCAAACGAGUGGUGCAACGCAAUGCACCUUAUAUUUCGGAUUUUUUCUCAGAAAUCUAUACACCUUAUAUCAAGGAACGGAGGGAGUAUGUCAUAUAUAUUCUAUUCAUGUAUGAUAGUUAUGUGUUCUUGUCUAGUAGGUUUCCCUAAUAUUGAUUCUCGUUUGUGUUAGUGUUUUAAUCCCUCAAGCCUAAUAAAAAUACCAAAAAGACAAUGAGUAAAAUCUGAAUUUCCCCUUGCUGUUUACCCUUUCUUUGUCGUCAACCUUAGCUAGUUUAGGUUAUUAUUUUCUUGGAAUCCUCUCUUAAAAUUUUGUCACCUAGCUUUAGCUGAGCAUUGCUGCUGUCGCCUAGUCCCUGUGGAGAACACGACAUCCGUAGUUUGGGGCGUAAAAAACCCUGCUAUAUUACAACUGAUCAUUUUGGCGCCGUUGUCGAGGACCAGCGUCGAGCGUUUGUGUGAGGCUUUAGACUAGGUUUAGCUUGUUUCCUUUUUGUGCUUUAUAUAUUUGUGAUAUAUCUCUAGCCACUAACCCCUGUUCUAGUUAGUAUCUUUUUGUCUUCUUUUCCUUUUUGCAGGUUGGAUUAUCCUCUCGGUUAUGGCUUACUAUUCAGAUCAUCAUGCUUAUGCGAGCAACACUACAAACAGCACGGAAAGUGUUCAAGAACUGAUAGGUAAGAUUUCCCAUCGAUUAGAUGAUUUAGCUCGGCAGCGAGAAGGAGUUUUUGAGGAUAGGCCUAGUUCUUACGAUCCUUAUUCCAGUGGCCAUCCUUAUGUUGCUCCUACUUGCCAUAUUUGUGGAUUUCAGGGCCAUUCACCCGCUGAAUGUCAGUGUGGCUACUCUCACACUCCGGAUUGUUUUGGCAUGAGCUUCGCUCAAGAGCAUAGCUCAUACCAAAACAAUUACUCACAUGGGUGGCCUGAAAUCCCGAAUAUGUCAUAUAGGAGCAACAACCCUGAGAUCUCACAGUUUGGUUCUAGUAAUCAUAUGCAGGGAUUUAGGUACAAUGAGGAGAGCCACAACUAUGCACCACAACAAUUCCAUUCAGCUCCUACUCAUAUACCACAGCACCAGGAGAUGUGUCCAAUGGAGUUAAAUGGUCCUCCAUUUGGUCAACCAACAACUCCAGCACCUGUUGUGCAAUCUCAUGUGCAAGUGCCCACACAAGAUGAGUUCGAUGACAUAGACAAGCUCACACUUUUGAGUCUCGAGUUCACUUGGAGUGCCGAGGAUGAUCCUAUUAGGAAGGUGAUACUUGAGGAAAUGAAGAAGAUUAAGAGUGGAAAAGAGCUAGUGGAAGAAGUAAGGAAGAUUGAGAAGAACAUCAACGCUGGCAGCACUAUUUCUUCACAGCUAGAGCUGAGUGUUGCUGAGAUAUCCAUUGAUACAUGUGAGGUACCAACACCUUCACAUUCAGCUGAGCAAGAUAGCGAGAGUCCAGAGGAAGAGAUACUUCAGAUCCAAGAAGAAAUUCUCGAAGCCAAGGCACAAGAUGAUCUAGAGCUCGAACAACAAAGUGAUCAAGUUGAAGACUCAUCAUCUACUACUCCUGAAGAAGUACAAGAAGCUGUUGUAGAUGAAGAUGAAGAACAUGAGAUUCAUUUGCCUAUUGUCAUACCAGAGCGUGAUGUGUCAGGUUUACUCAAUCCUCUUGAUGACAUUAUGCCUUGUGAUUUCUUUGCUACUACCUUGCAUUACAUGAUACCAUCACUUAAGAUUGAUUUGAAAACUCAUUUGCUUGGAUAUGAUGAUAUAUACCCUGUUAGUGGCAUUACUCUCAUUUGUGAUGACCAUAGUUACUUUCCUCGCGCUAAUCCUAUGCUUAAUGAAACAUAUCACUCCCAUGCUAGUCUUGAGCUUAAUGAUAAAUAUCAUCCUCAUGUUAGUGUUGACCUUGCUGAUUUCUACCAUCCUAAACAUGUGCUUUAUAGCUAUGCUUAUGUAAUUGGAUACUCUAUCGAUGACUAAGAGGGCAUUCUCUCUGUCACUUGUAUUGGCUUGGUUGUUGAGUGUUCUUUCAGGUUGAUGCUUGUGUACCAUUUACUACGAGUUGACCGAGUUCGAGAUGACAUUCCCUGGGAUCCUGGUGGACUCAGAGCAUGGGGAUGAGGAGAAGCAAGGGGGCACACACGAGGAAGGGAGAAGCUGGAGUAGGCAUGAGGAUAGAGAAGCAAAAGGAGAGGAGCUGCAGUUGGUGAGGUGAUCGAGCGAGUGCUACUUCCUAUGAAAACCCGGUGAGCUGUUUCAUGACCCAUUCCUAGUAUAUCAUCCAUUGAUACAUGCUGAAAUCAAAUGUUAUUUGGGUUGCUUAAGCCAUGUCUUAAAUGUUGCCCCACUGAAUUUUACUUGAAAUAUGGUGCUUGAUGAGAAUAUGUGAACUGAGCGUUGAAUGCCUGGUAAACUAGUGAUCUAUACAAUGCUUGCUUUGCUGAAAGUAGUGGAAGUUAUUAGUUUUGAGUGCUCAAAUCCCUAGUAUACUAGAAAACUUAAUCAUUUUCUGCUUUUACCUCGAUACACCUAGAUCACCACGUUUAGAUUCUGAAUUUGUGCUAAGUGUGUUCCCAUUGAGAGCAAUCACCUAACCACUAUGGAUUAGCAUGCUAUGUUCCCUGGAUCGGUAGCAUGUGAACCAGACAUGGAGAAGUGAUGAUUCCUGUUUUUGUGCUUAUGUGUUGUUCAUUUAAGAUAAGUAAUAUUGAAUAAAUAAGUCUGACUACCUACAGUAGCAUGUCAUGUUCCCGGGAUCGGUGGCAUGUGAAAUCGGGUUAGCUUGGGCAGUAAUUAAUAAUAAAAAAAUGUAAUUGUCGAACCAGGUGUAUACCAUGUUCUCGGGAUCGGUGGUAUGUUCCUUUGGGGAGACAAACAAAAAAACUAAUAAUUGGUCGAGCCAGGUGUAUACCAUGUUCUCGGGAUCGGUGGUAUGUUCCUAUGGUGAGACUAAUAAUAAUAUAAUCAUUGCUUUAUCUCUGUAAAUAAGUGAUUUGAUCACAAGAUUUAAUUCCAGUUCAUUUUGUUCUUGGGAUCAUGCUCUCUUUAGGAACCAUUUGGCGCAGUCAUCAUUUAAACUUGUUGAUCCUCUUUUAUCUCUGUAAAAGUUUAAAAUGGUCAUGCUUACUAGUAUCCUACUGCUUUGUAGCACUCCUAACCAUUAAUUUUCACUAGCUAAGUCUGAAGCAUGCCUUGUUUGGAGAUCUAUUUUACCAGGACAUUCCUUACUCAGUUUACUGUUCAUUAUCUUGCCUUUAUCAUAUUCCUUUGCUUGAGGACAAGCAAAGAUUUAAGUGUGGGGGAACUUGAUAAGUGCAUUUCAUAUAUAUAAUUUGGCACUCAAAUUUAGCAUCUAUCGUGAUAUAUCCAUCCAUUCUUGCUAUGAGUUGUGAUAUAUUUGAAUGAAAAUCAUAUAAAAGAUCAUUUACUUGUCAUUUGUUUCUUUUGCAGAAAAGUGCGCAAGGCACUAUAAUCGUCAAGAUUUUUACUAUGUGGCUAACGAGACGAGAGAAGGGCUUGUGUGUGACGACAAGAAGUAACCAAAGGGGCUAACUAUAGAAGAGAGGGGAUCUACUUGGGAAGGAAGAAGAUAGUAGGAGGGCCCAUGUGCAAACAUCAAAAUCUGCUGUGAGGGGAUCAAACUCCCUAGGUCACUACACAAUUCCCCUCGGGCCUGGCUACACAUCUCUCUUCUCCCCCACCUCUCCUUCUCCAACUCCGGCCGCCGCCACGUCCAGGCCAGCGUGGUGGUGCGCCUUCGCAGCACAUCCAUCCACCAGCACCACCAUCACACGACCACUCCACAACCAGCGCCACCCAGCCACCCAUGCUCACCAUCUCCAUCACCCGCCGCUGCAUCAUCACCAAUCAGCCACUGCUGCACCAUCACCAGCACCUCCAUACACCACCAUCCAUCAGCGCCACCAUCUACAGCUACCGCUGCAUCUCGCGUGCUCGACCAGACAAGAGGGUCACGGGCAUCUGGUCCUCCGCGUUAGCGCCCCCGUGAUGUUGAUGUUCUUCUCCUUUCCCCCCUGCUGCUUCUUCCCUUCACGCUGCUGCUGCUGCCUUCCUUGCACCCCCUUGCUGCUGCUACGAUCUGAACCCUCCUUGCUUUUGCUCUUCCCUCGUCCUAGCCUGCUGCUCUCUCAAUCUCUGCUGCUGCUAUUCUCUAAGCCCCCCACGCUGCUGCUGUUCCUCUUCUUUCCCACGUCUCUCCUGCUUUCUUCUCCCCAAAACUGCUGCUAUACCUUCUCCCUAAUUCCCCUCUUCUCCUAACCUCGUUGUUGUACUUUUCUGAACCCCUACUACUCCUGUUUCCCUCAUUAUCUUUCUCUGAAUUUUCUGUAAGCUGAGAUGUGUAAUGCUUUGUAAUGUUCAGAUUUGAGUAGUGCUUGACACUUGUUCAGUUUCAGACUUGUCCUUGAUUAAUAGUACUUGUGUUGUUCAUCUCAGAGUACUAGAAUUAUGUCUUGUAACCUCCCCCUGUUUGCAUAUGUGUGAUGUGUGUUCUGUAGUGUUUUUGUUAACUUUGUUCAUGUGAAAACAUAUAUGUUUGUGUUGUGAUAUAUUUUUGUCCCUAUCAUAUUAGCUUGUUUCUUUCCUUCUGUCAUUGCUAGUUAUAUAUGUGUGAGUGUUUGUGUUGUGAGAGUUGUACUGUUACAUUGUGAUUCUCAUUUAAAAUGUAAGAGUACUAGCUAUAUAUGUCAUAUAUAUUCUGUUCAUGUAUGAUAGUUAUAUGUGUUCUUG
This 5330-nucleotide long non-coding RNA is filed under the name Triticum aestivum (bread wheat). RNAcentral's name for it is "long non-coding RNA (TAES_LNC003673)". The record is from RNAcentral. Lineage: Eukaryota; Viridiplantae; Streptophyta; Magnoliopsida; Poales; Poaceae.